RNAcentral lists this ribosomal RNA (534 nucleotides) under Pseudomonas sp. RNAcentral's name for it is "bacterial SSU rRNA". It matches the Rfam family "Bacterial small subunit ribosomal RNA", at positions 54 to 583 of the family's 1533-position model. The record is from RNAcentral. Lineage: Bacteria; Pseudomonadati; Pseudomonadota; Gammaproteobacteria; Pseudomonadales; Pseudomonadaceae.
CAUGCAAGUCGAGCGGAUGAAGAGAGCUUGCUCUCUGAUUCAGCGGCGGACGGGUGAGUAAUGCCUAGGAAUCUGCCUGGUAGUGGGGGACAACGUUUCGAAAGGAACGCUAAUACCGCAUACGUCCUACGGGAGAAAGCAGGGGACCUUCGGGCCUUGCGCUAUCAGAUGAGCCUAGGUCGGAUUAGCUAGUUGGUGAGGUAAUGGCUCACCAAGGCGACGAUCCGUAACUGGUCUGAGAGGAUGAUCAGUCACACUGGAACUGAGACACGGUCCAGACUCCUACGGGAGGCAGCAGUGGGGAAUAUUGGACAAUGGGCGAAAGCCUGAUCCAGCCAUGCCGCGUGUGUGAAGAAGGUCUUCGGAUUGUAAAGCACUUUAAGUUGGGAGGAAGGGUUGUAGAUUAAUACUCUGCAAUUUUGACGUUACCGACAGAAUAAGCACCGGCUAACUCUGUGCCAGCAGCCGCGGUAAUACAGAGGGUGCAAGCGUUAAUCGGAAUUACUGGGCGUAAAGCGCGCGUAGGUGGUUUGU